CAUGAAGCCAGAGUCCAGAGAAACUGAGAUGGAAUAAUAAUAAUAAUGUUACUUUUGCCAAUUGGGUUCAAUCUUUGGACAUGUCCUAAGUAGAAUGAAGGCACCAUUUUAGCAUAAUGAAAUAACCUCACUUACCCUCUCAUUCCUACAAGAUUAAGAUCGUCAGUGAACUGCCUUAUACAGAUGAAGCUAUAUAUCUUCCAUUUAUCUGGGCUGAAAGUGUCCAAUUUAGAGAUGUGACUUUGAAAGACAUGACUGAAUGCUUAAAAACCUCUGUAAAAUAUGACCAGUUUCCCAUGCUCAAUACAUAAAACAAGAGAACAAAGACCAUAUUUGGGCUUCGUAAAGUGCUCUGGGCACAGUGAGUCCUUAAAUUAUUACUAGUACUGGGAUAGAUCUGUCAGCCCAGCAGGGGUGAGAUUUCAUCUGACCUCCAGGAUGAGCACUUGAACUGCUCUCAGGCACCAAGUCUCACUGGUCAAUUUGCAGAGCUUUCUAACAUUCCGUGACUGAAGAGUUUUCCCAGGAAUAUAGUCAGCCUGGGUAGUUUCUUUUUCCAACUUUUCACACAACUGAUUGGUCGGCGAAGACUUGAAGCAAAUGUUAGAGAACAAUACUGUGGACCAUAAGUGCAGGUGGUGCUUAAACCAUCCAGUGCUUUGUAACUGCAAGAAAUUCUCCAAGCGUACUUGGAAACAUCAAUGGCUUGGUACUGUGCCUCAAACAAACAGUAUUCCACAGACUCAAAUUCCCUAUGAAUUUCCAUUUUCACUCAGGGGAAAGCGGAAAAGGGAGCCUCCAAGGUUUAUAGACCAGAUGAUGAUGAUGAUGCUUAAAGCAUCCAAGCCAUCAUCUUAAAUUGAAACAAGAAGUCUGUUUGCAUGUCACAACCUAAAUCCUGCUCCUAAUUAUGUUCAGAUUGGAGAGAGUCCACAUUUUGUCACCAAAGUCCCGAGAUUUUUGCUUAGAUCAAGAAUAGAUUCUGAUUUUCUACAGUGUCUCUGGCAGAACCUAAGUCCCUCAGCCAGCUGCUGAGAAGGAAAUUCUGACUUUUAGAUUAAUUGCUACCAGACUAAACCCUGAUUCUGGUGACCAACUCAUACUUGGGAAAACCAGACAAUUGAACUUGUCAUCCCUUUUGUGGAUAUUCAUAAGUAAGAGGGUUAAAUAUGGGCAGGCUAUUAUAAACACAUUAUCUUUUCCCCAUUACUAUGUUUAAUGGACUUUGAUAAACAUUUGAGAAGCAA
This is a long non-coding RNA of Tachyglossus aculeatus (Australian echidna), 1247 nucleotides long. RefSeq lists it as uncharacterized. The transcript is spliced from 5 exons. NCBI's taxonomy places the organism in Eukaryota, Metazoa, Chordata, Mammalia, Monotremata, Tachyglossidae. The record is from RefSeq and is a predicted model, not a curated record.